Molecule: non-coding RNA, 85 nt
Filed under: Rhizobium etli CIAT 652
Lineage: Bacteria; Pseudomonadati; Pseudomonadota; Alphaproteobacteria; Hyphomicrobiales; Rhizobiaceae
Description: chrB RNA
Rfam family: chrB-a RNA
Source: RNAcentral
GUCAAGGGGCAGCGAUCGCCCCACGAGGCCACGGCCGAAGAAUCGCGUCCUGUGAAACCGUUAGAACGGAGGACGCGCUGCCAUG